This 970-nucleotide long non-coding RNA is filed under the name Ananas comosus (pineapple). Its description in RNAcentral is "long non-coding RNA (ACOM_LNC028053)". Lineage: Eukaryota; Viridiplantae; Streptophyta; Magnoliopsida; Poales; Bromeliaceae. The record is from RNAcentral.
GGUUAAACUGCUUUAAAGCUUAAAAUGGAUAAUUAGUGAAUUAUAAAUCAAUUUCUGAACUAUAUGAAGUUUAAUCGGUCGAAUUGAUGCAGUUUGGACUUGCUCCUUCGCAGCAGGUUCUCGAACCACUGGGGGCUAAUUUGGUGACCAGGGAGACUAGUUUGGAAGGUGUUCCAACUGUUAAGGAUUUUAUAGAUUGGCGAAUUUCGUAAAGAUGUUUGGAGUCUUGAAGAGUUGAUCGCAGAAGUUUUUGAGAAAAGAUUCAAAUCGGAGGACGAAGACUCAUUCGGAAAGAUCGACACCUAAGGUAUGAAGAAAAGAUCAUUUGUGGUGAAGAUACAUAAUUAGAAUAAGUUCAGAAGGCUUAGAUUGUUUUUAAACAACUUUUCUGAACUUUCUUGUGUUCUGGGACCGGUCUCUGAGAUGGAGAGACCGGUUCCCCCAAGGUCCUCACUGCGUAAACCAUAAUGCAACCGGUCCCCUGUGAUGAGAGACCGGGUCCCGAACCUUGGUGAUUCUGUCGCGCAGCGAGGGACCGGUCUCAAGUUUGAGAGACCGGUUCCCGAACGUGGGGUUUUUGGUCACGCAGGGAGGGACCGGUUCCUCACUUGAGAGACCGGUCUCUCACAGACCGGUCUCCUCGAGAGGACCGGUCUCUGAGGACGACAUAGGUUUUUGAAAACGACUUUUUGCAAUCCUAGUCUACUUCUAAGUCUUCUAAACAUAUAAAUAAGCUAUGUGGGUCAUCNAGGACCGGCAAAGAUCACCGUCAACGAGAAAUCGGUAAAUUGAGUCGUGUGUUUUUUUCGAAAUCACUUGUACUCAAGUUUUCUUAGUGGAUUUUCUUUGCGUGAUCGGUCCCGUGGGUUUUUCACUCCGAAUUGGAGUUUUCCCACGUUAAAUUCUCGGUGUGCUGUUUUAAUUUCCGCUAUUUUGUCUUGUUUGCAUCGAGAUUUUUCGAGUUUGCCGG